This is a long non-coding RNA of Sitophilus oryzae (rice weevil), 290 nucleotides long. RefSeq lists it as uncharacterized. The transcript has 3 exons. Lineage: Eukaryota; Metazoa; Arthropoda; Insecta; Coleoptera; Curculionidae. The record is from RefSeq and is a predicted model, not a curated record.
GGUACCACCGCUUUCGGUUCGGUUCGUUCGGUACGAUCAGUCGCGUUUCAGUUUUGUGGUACGCCAGGUCGUACCUCGUGCACCAGCAAGUUAUUAACAAAAGUGUUUUGAAUUUGGUAGUUUUUACAAAAACGCAAGCGGGACAAAUUAAGAAGGAUAAAACGAGCGAGACGCUGAUCAACAAAUAAAUAAAAUAUUAUACAAACAAACGCAAUCUCUACAUUGUCAGUCAAAAGCAUCAAUAGAAAGAAAGCAAGUAUAGUGGCCACAGAACAACCGAAAUUAGGUAA